Molecule: long non-coding RNA, 273 nt
Filed under: Vigna radiata
Lineage: Eukaryota; Viridiplantae; Streptophyta; Magnoliopsida; Fabales; Fabaceae
Description: long non-coding RNA (VRAD_LNC013280)
Source: RNAcentral
AAUUUAUUCGGUCAAGCUAGUGACGUUAAAGAAGCGCUUGUUGGGAGGCAACCCAGUUCUCUGAAUUGUUACUUUUAAUUUUUGUUUUUGUUUUUGGUUUUAAUUUGUGUUUUUUUUAUUUUAUUUUAUUGUGCUCUGCUUGAAUGAACUAAACUGCUUUGAUUCAAAUGUGCUCUAUUUGUGUGUGAUGGGUUUGCUUUAUGAGAUUUUAGUGUUUGAUUGAAGUUGAGAUGAUGCGUGAUGAUGAAUCCCAAUUUGUGAGACAGGUGCUUG